CCACUCCCAGGCUGAUCAUCCCUGGGGCUGGGAGGAAAGUUAUUUGCAGAGGAGAACAAGAUCAGGACUCUUCCUAACAAAGGCUGAGUAAGAAACUGGGUUUCUGACCUCUCUACCCCAGCAAGCUCAGAGUCCCCUGCCUUUCCUCUGUUCUGGCUCUGUGUGUUUGCAUUACUCACUCUGUGGUUAGAAGUUCAGGCCCACAGACAGAAGGGAUUAGCCUUAUCUCAGAUGAGAUUUUGGACUUGGACUUUUGAAUUAAUCCUUCAAUGACCAUAGUUUAAGAAGAGAUAUCUUGAAAACACGGAAAGAGAAAAGUCAAUACAAUAUUUCCUAAUUUUUUAAGAGGUCAGAGAAGGGAGUUACUGUGUGGCCUGGAGCAGGUGAUUCUGACUACCAAGGGAAAAUUGGAGUACUACUCCACAAUGGAGGGUCUGCAGGAUGGACCCGGCAGCUGGUGCCCUGUGUGAGGAACGCUGCAACGGACUGCGACAGAACCCUCGAAAACGAAGGUGAAGAGACUGUGCAGUCAUGUGACAGACACAUCAAACCAUACCAUGGCGUGGCUAAGACCCAAGCUGGUAUCAAAAAUAAAGGAAACGACGCUGCAGGACCCGCAGCCCCAGACGAUGUGGCUUCCUCCGAUGACACAGGCCCCAGACAUUACCUGGGGGAAGCUGAAGAAGACAACUCAGGAGGCCGAGUGAAUCCUUCUCUGGACACAGACACCAUCACUCCAGAUAAUCUGUUCCUUGCUAUGCUCUCUAUUGUACCUUGCAACUCUCAUAGGGUAUUCACCUUUCUUAUUCUCUCACUUUGCCUGCAACUCAUACCUGCUACAUUCUAUUGGGCCCAUCUUCUAAGAUCUGCCUUUCUUCCAACCUGUUACCUUGGCAGACACCCCCUUCCCAUCCUCUAAUAAUGUAACUGCUUAGCUGGGAGGGGUUGACAUGCCCCCAGUGGGGUUCCUUAAUAAUGGCACACAUUGAACUGAGGUGCCAAGUAACACUACAUAUCUCUCCUUGAUUGGAAAAGAAUAAUAGUGACUAUACUAAUGUUUGACUUAUGUUAUUUACUAAUUCUAGGAUGCAAAGCCGGAACACGAGCUGUAACCGCUGCGCCUGUCAAAUCUGUCACUGCACACAUCUGUACUAUUCAAUCAACAAAACCCGAUGCUAAAAACAGAAAAGGGGGAGACGCGGGAGAUCGGUCAGAGUGGUAGGAGAAGGUAUAGGGAAAGGAACAGACCUUCUGAAAGGCGGGAAGGCUCUGGAUAGCUUCAGGGAUGAAUAAGCUGAAGGCAGCUGUUCUCUUACCCUGAGGCAGAGGGCAAGGGGUAGGUAAGGAAGUAUAGGGGAAUUUGGCAUAAACAGGCUUGUUUACUUACAUUGUCCGGAAACCGACUUUGAUCAUCAGGGCAGGAGACUGCUCCCUGAAAGGGGGAAUAAUAAUGUUAAUUACCCACAGAUUGUGUUGGCUCCAGGCUUUCAUUAUUUUGUCUGUACUGAAUAAAAGCAAGCAGCUCCAGCUGUUCGAGACUGCUCACUCUUCAGCCAUUAGUGCUGGGCAUUCCUGUAGCUGCUCUUACACUGCAUGCCUGUGGCUGAGUACUCCUUUCAUCCGUUGCUUGGCCAGGGUCUGUGGGAUGGACCCCGCAGGUAAGGGUUAUCAAAAAAAAAAAAAAUUCACAGGCAGAUAGGAACACCAUGACCAUACUAAAAGGCUUUUUUCCCAUUUUAGUCUUGCAAGUUUGUAAAGAAGGAUAUGAAGCCCCUAAGAAAUCAGUGAAACACUUUUUCCCAAAACCUUUAUUUCCUAUGUCUUGUCUUCAGAAGUUUAUCUAGAAACUCCCCAGCUAGUUUAGUAUUGAGGAGGGUACCAGAUGGACUAUCUAUGUGCUAAGAAAAGCAUACCACUGCAUGCAACUAAAUAUCUGCAAUAUCA
RNAcentral lists this long non-coding RNA (1944 nucleotides) under Homo sapiens (human). RNAcentral's name for it is "HSALNT0408958". Lineage: Eukaryota; Metazoa; Chordata; Mammalia; Primates; Hominidae. The record is from RNAcentral.